CGAAGGGGCUAGCGUUGCUCGGAAUUACUGGGCGUAAAGGGCGCGUAGGCGGCGGCCCAAGUCAGGCGUGAAAUUCCUGGGCUCAACCUGGGGACUGCGCUUGAUACUGGGUUGCUUGAGGAUGGAAGAGGCUCGUGGAAUUCCCAGUGUAGAGGUGAAAUUCGUAGAUAUUGGGAAGAACACCGGUGGCGAAGGCGGCGAGCUGGUCCAUUACUGACGCUGAGGCGCGACAGCGUGGGGGAGCAAACAGGAUU
This 254-nucleotide ribosomal RNA is filed under the name uncultured bacterium. RNAcentral describes it as "partial 16S ribosomal RNA". It matches the Rfam family "Bacterial small subunit ribosomal RNA", at positions 527 to 779 of the family's 1533-position model. The record is from RNAcentral.